CCCUGCGCAGCCACGUACGGGGUCCGUCCACGUCGCGCCGUCAGGCACGACAUCGCUUCGGCGACUGGGAUGCAAGGACCCGCGAUGGCGGUCAGGUCGGAGGACUACGCCAUG
RNAcentral lists this non-coding RNA (114 nucleotides) under unclassified sequences. RNAcentral's name for it is "malK-III RNA". It matches the Rfam family "malK-III RNA". The record is from RNAcentral.